UACGUAGGGGGCAAGCGUUGUCCGGAAUCACUGGGCGUAAAGCGCGCGCAGGUGGUCAUUUACGUCUGGGGUGAAAGCCCGGAGCUCAACUCCGGGAUUGCCUUGGAUACGGGAUGACUUGAGGAUCGGAGAGGCAAGGGGAAUUCCACGUGUAGCGGUGAAAUGCGUAGAGAUGUGGAGGAACACCUGUGGCGAAGGCGCCUUGCUGGCCGAUUUCUGACGCUGAGGCGCGAAAGCGUGGGGAGCAAACAGG
RNAcentral lists this ribosomal RNA (253 nucleotides) under uncultured bacterium. Its description in RNAcentral is "partial 16S ribosomal RNA". It matches the Rfam family "Bacterial small subunit ribosomal RNA", at positions 524 to 776 of the family's 1533-position model. The record is from RNAcentral.